AGAGUUUGAUCAUGGCUCAGGACGAACGCUGGCGGCGUGCUUAACACAUGCAAGUCACGGGGGUCCGGGGGCAACUCCGGAUAACCGGCGAACGGGUGCGUAACACGUGAACAACUUGCCCUCGUGUGGGGGAUAGCCGGGCUAACGCCCGGGUAAUACCGCAUACGUUCCUCUGGGGGAGUCCCCGGGGGAGGAAAGCUCCGGCGCACGGGGAGGGGUUCGCGGCCUAUCAGCUAGUUGGCGGGGUAACGGCCCACCAAGGCGACGACGGGUAGCUGGUCUGAGAGGAUGGCCAGCCACAUUGGGACUGAGAGACGGCCCAGACUCCUACGGGAGGCAGCAGUGGGGAAUCUUGCGCAAUGGUCUAACGACUGACGCAGCGACGCCGCGUGUGGGAGGACGCCUUCCGGGGUGUAAACCACUGUUGCCCGGGACGAACACCUCUUUUCGAAGAGGCUGACGGUACCGGGUGAGGAAGCACCGGCUAACUCCGUGCCAGCAGCCGCGGUAAUAC
Molecule: ribosomal RNA, 514 nt
Filed under: uncultured bacterium
Lineage: Bacteria
Description: bacterial SSU rRNA
Rfam family: Bacterial small subunit ribosomal RNA
Source: RNAcentral